This 253-nucleotide ribosomal RNA is filed under the name uncultured bacterium. RNAcentral describes it as "partial 16S ribosomal RNA". It matches the Rfam family "Bacterial small subunit ribosomal RNA", at positions 524 to 776 of the family's 1533-position model. The record is from RNAcentral.
GACGUAGGGCGCGAGCGUUGUCCGGAUUUAUUGGGCGUAAAGAGCUCGUAGGCGGCUUGUCACGUCGGGUGUGAAAGCCCGGGGCUUAACCCCGGGUCUGCAUUCGAUACGGGCUGGCUGGAGUUCGGUAGGGGAGAUCGGAAUUCCUGGUGUAGCGGUGAAAUGCGCAGAUAUCAGGAGGAACACCAAUGGCGAAGGCAGCACUCUGGGACGUGACUGACGCUGAGACGCGAAAGCGUGGGGAGCAAACAGG